ACAGCAGCAGCCGCGGUAAGACGAACCGUGCGAACGUUAUACGGAAUCACUGGGCUUAAAGCGCGUGUAGGCGGAUGGGAGCGUCGGCCUCUGAAAUCCCCCGGCUCAACCGGGGAAGUGGAGCCGAAACGACCCGUCUGGAGGGACGUAGGGGGACCUGGAACUUCCGGUGGAGCGGUGAAAUGCGUUGAGAUCGGAAGGAACGCCCGUGGCGAAAGCGAGGUCCUGGACGUCUGCUGACGCUGAGACGCGAAAGCCAGGGGAGCGAACGGGAUUAGAUACCCCCGUAGUCCCUGUCUCUUAUA
RNAcentral lists this ribosomal RNA (305 nucleotides) under uncultured bacterium. Its description in RNAcentral is "partial 16S ribosomal RNA". It matches the Rfam family "Bacterial small subunit ribosomal RNA", at positions 505 to 807 of the family's 1533-position model. The record is from RNAcentral.